This 486-nucleotide long non-coding RNA is filed under the name Mytilus galloprovincialis (Mediterranean mussel). Lineage: Eukaryota; Metazoa; Mollusca; Bivalvia; Mytilida; Mytilidae. The record is from RNAcentral.
CUGAAAGUUAAGUUCGUUCAAAUAUCACGUAAACAUUAUUAUAUUCUAUAAACAAUAUAAUCUUUUUUUCACGAAAUUGAAUUUAAUAUUUUGUUCCAAAUGAAAAAAAAUAUUUUAAUCAUUGUACUUUAGUAUUUGCCAUUUCAAAACGUCAAUUAUUUGAUAUAUGUCCGAGACAAGAGACCACUUGACAACUCCUAAAUAAGUGUGUUAUGGUAAAUUUUUCUUAAUGGCAGAAUGUAGAUAUAUUAGUGUUGUUUAACGUCAUCUAAGGGAGAAGGGUAUUAUGUGCAGAUAUUUGAGGAUGUUUUUAUAUUUGAACUAGAAAAGCAUUGUGUAUGUUGUACAGAAAAAGUUUAUAGUUAUAGUUAAAAGCAGUGAUAUUUAAUUUGUUAUGUAACGUUUAGCCUUUCCCAUUUUCAAGGAACGACUGAUUGAUUGAUUAGAAAUUGCUUAAAAUCGUGUCAUAGAUUCAUUUAAUAUUAU